Molecule: microRNA precursor, 98 nt
Organism: Nicotiana attenuata
Lineage: Eukaryota; Viridiplantae; Streptophyta; Magnoliopsida; Solanales; Solanaceae
Rfam family: MIR6152 microRNA precursor family
Source: Rfam
UAGAUAGAUUAUUGUAUUCGAUUGUAUUUACGACGCAAUUCAUGGUCUAUUCAGUUGUUUUUAAACGGAAAGUGAGUUAAUUAACAUAAUAGACUCCU